CUGCUGGCGUGUGACCGAGGAUUAGCCAGCCGUUUUAAGUGAGAGCAUAUGGAAAUAAUAACUGCAAACUGACACACGCGUGAGCUAGCUUGUCCCCCAGAUGGAGGUGCUGAUAAAAAGAGGCUGGUUCGCAGUGAGUGGAAUCAAGCCGGAGAUUCAUUUGUCAAAAAACCCAACAAUACACUCUUCUUCGACGGGAGACAAAUAAGGAAAACAGGAUGGUAUAUUCCAGCUUGGCGUUCUCACCCAGGUCAGCGUCCGUUGCGGAGAUGCGUCCUAUCUCAGCGCCCGGGAUGGCCAGCUCGGAAACGGAGAAGGACC
Molecule: long non-coding RNA, 321 nt
Organism: Pelmatolapia mariae (spotted tilapia)
Lineage: Eukaryota; Metazoa; Chordata; Actinopteri; Cichliformes; Cichlidae
Exons: 3
Source: RefSeq, a predicted model, not a curated record